Rattus norvegicus (Norway rat) is the source of this 131-nucleotide small nucleolar RNA. Ensembl annotates it as small nucleolar RNA SNORA17. The record is from Ensembl. Lineage: Eukaryota; Metazoa; Chordata; Mammalia; Rodentia; Muridae.
GCUGUCCCUAGAAGCUUGCAGCUGUGGCUGCUGUGUUCCAUGUGUGUCAGUAGGUGGCAGAGAGGAAAGAAAUUAUGUCUAAGCUCAGUAUUCUGACCUAUGAACAUUUGAAUGAUUAGUAGCUUCACACU